Non-coding RNA from Triticum urartu, 1529 nucleotides. NCBI's taxonomy places the organism in Eukaryota, Viridiplantae, Streptophyta, Magnoliopsida, Poales, Poaceae. The record is from RefSeq and is a predicted model, not a curated record.
UAAUAGUUCUUGCACUUUCCUCCAUUUUCAUGUGACACUUGUUAGAUUGCUCUCAGUAUUUGAUGUAUUUCAUGCAACACUUAUUUGAUUGCUCAAGAGAAGUGUUAUUUAUUAGUGAAUUUUCUUUUAGUGUAGAAGUUCAAUAUGUAUUUAUAUCAACAGUUGAAUGAACAAUACAAUCUAUGCGUUAAAACAUAACAGAUCAGUUCAUUGUCAGUACAGGCUCUGAAACUGCUCAGUACAGGCUGGGGAACAUUUUUGGAAUCACGUAUAUAUAGCGGUUGCUUCCAAAUGAAUUUGUCGUUGCUAGUACAUUUUUGGUAGCAGAUGCUUCCAAGUGAAUUGCCGUUACUACUAUCUACGAUGUUGCUGCCAUGUUUUGUUUUUCUUUGAAUUUACUAUGUAACCACUGCUCAUGGUAACAUCAAACAACAAAUUUUAUAUGCCUGGCAUGUUUGAUCUGAUUUGACUCCAUGACCAUAGUGCAAAACAAAAAACUAUAGUAUCCUUGCUAGCUUGCAGCUGUAAUUUUGAUUGCACAACAGUUUAAUUGCAUCGCCAUCUCCCGGUGGGGCUCUGCUGUCGGAGCACCCUGGCCGUUCACAGCCACCACUCCAGGCCGUUCAACGCCACCACCCCUGGCCGUUCAUUGCCAGCAGCACCCUGGAUCCCACCCCUCACCCUAGUUGUUUCAGUUAUCGAGGUCCAGUCCCAUAUAUCUUUUAACCAAGUUCAUGGUGUGGCCCAGGGUGCUCGUCCGCGAUCACAAGAAGCAGGCCAUCGAGAAGGAGCUGGGCGACAUGGUGCAGCGGUGUGGCCAGUUCAACCACCUAGCUAAUAGAUCAUGUUUUUCUCUCUUUUGCCUAUGUCUCUUAGUGUGUUACCCCUUCUUAUUUUCAUAUAGCGUAUUUUGAACAUCAGAUGCUUUCAAAAAUGUGUCGCGCAAGUUCAAGUAUAGCUGCUGCAGGAGUUCAAAAAUCUGAACAGUUUAAGCUCAACCCAAUUUCAAGAACUGUUUCCUUUAUAAAUUGUUUGAAGUUUGUGAUUUUGGCUCAUGGCAGGAGCUCGUUGACGAUGAAGGAUGUGAAGCUUCACCACCAUUCACAACUCCAGUAUGGUCCAAUUCGUCAUGAGGAUCUGGAGCUUCAACUUUUUCAGUUCAUCUUUCAUAUGCUUUUUAGUACAUCUACUUCCUCAUCAUGGAAGAAGGAAAUCAGUCCAACAGGCGCAUCUAAAGUGACAUGUCGUGCACCGCCCACUCGUCCUCAAGCUGCACGUCGUGUCGUGCCGGCUUGCCAUCAACCACAAAUGUGGCUCAACCCCCACGGUGCUUCCACGACCACCGCACGCAGCCUCCCUCUAUUGUUGCCCUCACCAUGCUCUCCUGCGUAUUGGCGGCCUCGACGAGCUGACUAAUUGGUUACCCCUCCUGCGUGCUGCAGUACGCCGCCGAGCUGGUCACCAUUUAUAUUUUUGUUUUAAGUUCAUUUGUGUUCUUGUUGUCAGGUCGCCUGCAAAAUUGUUAUCGU